Mustela putorius furo (domestic ferret) is the source of this 107-nucleotide small nuclear RNA. NCBI's taxonomy places the organism in Eukaryota, Metazoa, Chordata, Mammalia, Carnivora, Mustelidae. The record is from Ensembl.
GCGCUUGCUUUGGCAGCACAUAUACUAAAAUGGGAAUGAUACAGAGAAAAUUAACGUGGCCCUUGGGCAAGGAUGACACUCAAAUUUGUGAAGUGUUUCAUAUUUUA